GCCCCCAUCGUCUAGUGGCCCAGGACAUCAGAUUCUCAAUCUGAGAACAGGGGUUCGAUUCCCCUUGGGGGUACCA
RNAcentral lists this transfer RNA (76 nucleotides) under Verrucomicrobiota bacterium. Its description in RNAcentral is "Verrucomicrobia bacterium (hot springs metagenome) tRNA-Glu". It matches the Rfam family "tRNA". Rfam says of the family: Transfer RNA (tRNA) molecules are approximately 80 nucleotides in length. Their secondary structure includes four short double-helical elements and three loops (D, anti-codon, and T loops). Lineage: Bacteria; Pseudomonadati; Verrucomicrobiota. The record is from RNAcentral.